Long non-coding RNA from Pogona vitticeps (central bearded dragon), 1693 nucleotides. NCBI's taxonomy places the organism in Eukaryota, Metazoa, Chordata, Lepidosauria, Squamata, Agamidae. The record is from Ensembl.
AUGUGGGGUGGACGAAGAAGGGGAAAGGAGAGAGAAGGCGAGAGAGAGAGGAGGUUUGGGGGUAUACUAUCCAACUAUCAGCAUGCCACUAAGACAAUAGAUUGCCUUAGCCAUAUUCGUUCCCCAAAUAAGCUACCUUCCUUUUUCCGCGCGUUCCCACACCUCGGCUUCCUCUGUUCCCCCCCAAUACCCUCCCCAAAAUCCUCUUGCUUUGCAGCUUCAAGACCGGGAAUUGUGAGGAAGGGGGUGCAAUGGCCAAAAAUAAGUGAAUUCCUUACGGAUUGCCCUAAACAGACGAUUUUAUUUGCCUCCUACCGAACCAACAAAUGUUUUCGGAGAUGCUUCACAAACACACGGAGGCAGAACAACCAACGGCACAACACACAAAACAAGGAGAGCAGCCGAGACUAUCCUAACGUCACCACAGCAGCCUUGCAGAUUUGGCAAAGGAAGGAAGGGAGCAGAAUCUGGUAAGUGAGAUAUUUAAGGAGUGUUUUUUUUUACCAGCUCCAUACCCCACUGGGAGUUUCCAUGGCUGAGCAACGAUUUGCACUGAAGCCCCUUGAGUCCCAGUCCAUCACUCUAUCCACCACACCACACUGGGUAUCUAGUUAGCUCAUACUGGGCUGCUGAGUCCUGGACCACUAAACAUCCCAUGUGAACGUGUGACACAGAAGACACAUCCUGCAAGUCUGCCCGAAUCCCAAUUAUGUAAGCAGGAAAGUCUAAACUCCGCAGGCUGUGCAAAAUCUGGCCAAGUUCAGUGUAUUCCCCGACGUAGACCUGCAUGUAAUUCACGUUGAAGCGUAAUAGGAGUGCAAAUGAGAGAUACGUAGCAAGAAUGAGUAAGUGGGGGGGGGGGUUGUCCUUUGGUUUCAGUCAUCAUUGUCCACAAACUUUUAUAUUUGAAGGAGGAGAACCUUGAAAGAAUGAAAGAAAGAAUGAAAGAAAGAUAGUGGGGGGGGGUGUUGUCCUUUGGUUUCAGUCAUCAUUGUACACAAACUUUUAUAUUUUUAAAGGAGGCGAACCUUGAAAGAAUGAAAGAAAGAAAGAAAGAAAGAAAGAAAGAAAGAAAGAAAGAAAGAAAGAAAGAAAGAAAGAAAGAAAGAAGUUUAACUCCUAUGACUCUCUAAUGCUCCAAGGGAAAUUAUGUCACUACCAGCACCUCCAGGCUGAAAACAAGCCAGCCCCUAACCAAGGUGUUUUUACGAAUUUCGAUUCUGAAGCACUGGAAUGAGACGUAUCCCUGCCUUGCCUCCUUCCAUCCUGUCCGGCGCCCAUCUGAAUGCCUCCAGCCCCCACCCAACCCUGCUGCUCCUUAUUUGUCCAUAAUGGUUGAGAAAACCUAAACAAUAUGCUAUUGAAACAACUAGGCCGUAACUAUUUCAUGCCGCUGAGCCAGAUCCUCUCCCCCCCCCCCGUUGUGAAUCAUUCCUUAACUCCCUGGAGUCUCCAAUUAUACCAGGAGCCGGGGGGGGGGGGGAGAAAUGGAGUCUGGCAACCCGGUUCGGCCUUCCUCGGAGGCAAGAAAAAGGACUUUUCCCAUGCAACCAUUCUGAAAGCCAACCCUCUGCCAGUCAGAGUUUCCUUUUCAAGAAAGAAAAAUCACAUUAAGUUAAGCUAAGAACACCUAUGGAGUGCUCAUCUGUGGCAAACACACAACUUUCCUAAAUAAAUGAAGCCGACAGACACA